This 461-nucleotide ribosomal RNA is filed under the name Lachnospiraceae bacterium oral taxon 107. RNAcentral describes it as "bacterial SSU rRNA". It matches the Rfam family "Bacterial small subunit ribosomal RNA", at positions 28 to 490 of the family's 1533-position model. Lineage: Bacteria; Bacillati; Bacillota; Clostridia; Lachnospirales; Lachnospiraceae. The record is from RNAcentral.
GAUGAACGCUGGCGGCGUGCUUAACACAUGCAAGUCGAACGAAGCUGCCCAAAGGAAGUUUUCGGAUGGAAUUUAGGUAGACUUAGUGGCGGACGGGUGAGUAACGCGUGGAUAACCUGCCUUAUACAGGGGGAUAACGGAGAGAAAUUUCCGCUAACACCGCAUAAGACCACAGCACCGCAUGGUGCAGGGGUAAAAUAUUUAUAGGUAUAAGAUGGAUCCGCGUCCGAUUAGCUAGUUGGUGAGGUAAAGGCCCACCAAGGCGACGAUCGGUAGCCGGCCUGAGAGGGUGAACGGCCACAUUGGGACUGAGACACGGCCCAAACUCCUACGGGAGGCAGCAGUGGGGAAUAUUGGACAAUGGGGGAAACCCUGAUCCAGCGACGCCGCGUGAGUGAAGAAGUAUUUCGGUAUGUAAAGCUCUAUCAGCAGGGAAGAAAAUGACGUACCUGACUAAGAAG